UGCCCUGUGGUGUAACUGGCAACACGUCUGAUUCUGGAUCAGAAGAGUUCAGGUUCGAGCCCUGGCGGGGCAA
Molecule: transfer RNA, 73 nt
Filed under: Chlorobiota bacterium
Lineage: Bacteria; Pseudomonadati; Chlorobiota
Also listed under: 1 other name
Description: tRNA-Gln
Rfam family: tRNA
About the family: Transfer RNA (tRNA) molecules are approximately 80 nucleotides in length. Their secondary structure includes four short double-helical elements and three loops (D, anti-codon, and T loops).
Source: RNAcentral